GAUGAACGCUGGCGGCGUGCUUAACACAUGCAAGUCGAACGGAAAGGCCCUGAGCUUGUGGCGUUGACGAUAGGGGAACGGGUGAGAAACACGUGUGGAACCUCCCCUUGUCUGUGGGAGAACAUCAGGAAACAGGGGCGAUUAUAGCAGAGGAUCUUCUGCAGCGCAUGGGGGAAUGGAGAAUGUCGGCGGUUGUGGAUGGUAUCGCGGUGUAUGAGCUGGUUUGUAGGGUAGUGGCGUACCAAGGCUAUCAAGGGUACGCGACCUGUGAGGCGGAUCGGCCACACGGGAACUGAGACACGGUCCAGACUCCUACGGGAGGGAGCAGUAUGCAAUCUGCCGCAAUGGGCGGAAGCCUGACGGAGCAACGCCGCGUGAGUGAUGAAGGUCUUCGGAGCGUAAAACCCUGUUAUUAGGUAAGAACAUAUGUGUAAGUAACUGUGCACAUCUUGACGGUACCUAAUCAGAAAGCCACGGCUAACUACGUG
RNAcentral lists this ribosomal RNA (488 nucleotides) under uncultured bacterium. RNAcentral's name for it is "partial 16S ribosomal RNA". It matches the Rfam family "Bacterial small subunit ribosomal RNA", at positions 28 to 507 of the family's 1533-position model. The record is from RNAcentral.